AAAACCCACAAAAUCUGUGUGGAAGGUGUGUGAACCCUUGGGAAACAGAGUUGCUGUACACGUGUAUCAGGCCCUGAGCCAGCUGCAGGGUGGGCAUUACUGCUUGGUGCCCUCCGCCCUCACUCUUCCUCCCUGGAUGUUGAGGAUGGCCCCGUAAACCUUGUUCAUAGGGGUCCCUCGUUUUCUGAGACACCUCAUCUGAGCACUGACGAGGGGACACAACUCUUGGCUGGGAAGCAGGAGACUGAGCAUUGCCUUCAAGCCAUCCCCACACAUGUGACCUCAGUCAGCAUUCUGCCCUUUCAUGGGUGUCAGUUGUCUCGUCCAUAAAAUGGGAUGAUGUUCUUGUUCCAGCCGGCAUACUGGAUGACUAAAUGAGGGAACAGACGAGGUCUCGCUCUGUUGCCCAGACUGGUCCUAAACUCCUGGCCUCAAGUACUCCUCCUGCUUGGGCCUUCCAAAUUGUUGGGAUCAUAGAUGCAGAAACCACGGCCCAGGGAAGACGCAGCUUGAGCAAGGUCACCGGCAGGCCAUGGUUUUGCGGGAGGAGGAGCUACGUCAGUCUGCCUUGGAGCUCAGCACCGUGUUUGGCCCAUGGUAGAUGCCCCACAGAAAACACAAGCGGCGUUGAGGGCUCCUGUGGUGAGUGGUCGUUUCUCUUUUAGCAUGCUAAAAGCACUUCCUGUGGGAGUGCCUCCGAGCCCCUCUACUUGAGUGGAAGUUUCUCAAGGCCAGGACCCUGUCCCGUUCCUCAGGGCCCCUCCCCACACGGAGUUUCAGGCAGGCCCUGCUGCUAGGCGCCACAGAGGCUGGGCAGGGUGAGGGGUGUGUCCUGUUUCUCCAGGCACACUCGGUGGUUGACUGAUUAGUCUCAAGAGGCAAUUAAAUUUAAGAGAGGCUUUUCACCUGCUCACAACUCCUCACCCUAUCUGAUUAUGAUGUUAUGCCCCUUGGAGGGGCAGAGAAGGGCAGUCAUUAAAAGACAAACAUUUGGGCCAGGCGUGGUGGCUCACCACAGUAAUCCCAGCACUUUGGGAGGCCGAGGCAGGCAAACCACUUGAGGUGAGGAGUUCGAGACCAGCCUGGCCAACAUGGUGAAACCCCGUCUCUAGCAAAUAUAAAAAAUUAGCCAGGUGUGGUGGCAUGCUUCUGUAAUCCCAGCUACUCGGGAGGCUGAGGCAGGAGAAUUGCUUGAACCUAGGAGGAGGAGGUUGCAGUGAGCUGUCCAAGAUCAUGCCACUGCACUCCAGCCUGGGCAACAGAGCAAGACUCCAUU
Molecule: long non-coding RNA, 1276 nt
Filed under: Homo sapiens (human)
Lineage: Eukaryota; Metazoa; Chordata; Mammalia; Primates; Hominidae
Description: HSALNT0030767
Source: RNAcentral